Long non-coding RNA from Alligator mississippiensis (American alligator), 8673 nucleotides. RefSeq lists it as uncharacterized. The record is from RefSeq and is a predicted model, not a curated record. Lineage: Eukaryota; Metazoa; Chordata; Crocodylia; Alligatoridae. The transcript is spliced from 2 exons.
CGCCCCGUGUCUUUAUCCCACGCUCGCUGCUUGCCCACCUGCCUGGCAUUUUGGCGCGGGGGGCGCUUAUAACGGCCCCCGCGCGUCCACGAGAGGGGCGUCCGGACCGCGCUACGUUUCGCGACCGUCGAGAGACGUCGGGGCUGGGUGCGGAGGCGCCCGCGUGCGUGACAUCUGCCCGCCGCCGCUCGAGCAGAAAGGGACCCGGGGGUCGAUGCCAUUCGUGCCUCGUCCCCCCGGCACCUCGAACGCGGGCGUCGCGGUCUGUGUCUGUCGCCAGCUUGGUUUACGAGCGAUCGAAUUAGACCGUCCUCCCCCCUUCUGCCUUGUCUGGUACCCUCAUUUGUUGCGUACAACUACACGUAUGUGUGUGCCGGUAACUGUAGAAAUCAAGCGUGGAGAUGGUGGGUAUACGGAAAAUUAAUUUAGACAUUUCUCUCUGAACGGGUGCAAUAAAACAGCACUUUGGACAGAGACUCGCGAGGCCUGAGCUGUGACUAGAAGCCCGGUGUCCUGUAAUGACUGAUCCUGCUUAUCCUGGGACUUUCCUCUAGUGUGACGAUGAGGGAGAAGGCUAAUAGAUGACUCUUUUUUGUGUCAUAUAGUUGUCUCGUUUAAUGGGAGAGGUGUCGUACUGAGCAGUAUUUUCCGGUACGAUCAGAACAUUUCUCUCUCCGUGAUACAGGACUCUGCGCUCGUGAUUCAAAGACUGUUAUAGCAACCUCUGUUCAGCGCGUUUGAAAUGCUGGGAUCAUAGUAAUGUAGCUGAGGAGUAAACAUGGGAUAAAUGCAUCCAUUUCCACAGAACAGGGACAGACCUCCUAACACGCGUACUUGGUAACAUACAAUUUGUUUCCUUCCCCGCAGAUGUCUUUUCAUUCCUGUUUUGCAAAAUUGCGUUAGCCUUGGGUGAACAAUUUAUUUUGACUGGCAUGUAAAAUAUUAUACUUGCAUACAUUCAUUGUGAUAAAGAGCAAGCAAGUAUAUUUUGUUCCUGGGCUGGUAAAUUUUCAUGAUGAUUAUCCAAGGACUCUUUGUGCUACACAGUACCACAAACUUACCCUGGUAUAUUUGACAGUUUUAUAAUGUUUGAACAUAUUGUAGCCAUCUGGAAGAAUCAAACUUAUAUUCCGUGGAGGAUAUGACACGAUUGGGAAGAUAAAAGGAGAAAAAUGGGGUCAGAGUCUAGCAGCAUGCAGCUGUAAGACCUAUUAUUUGGGACAAUUACAGAAUUAAAAGCAUUAACGUGGUGAAAGUAGGUGUAUUUAUAACGUACUGGAAUAUCUUUACAUUGCCAGAAGCAAACUGGUUUUACUGAAUUAACUCGCAGUUCAGUAUUGCAUUGUGCCAUCUUUAUCUGAAAAGUGUCCAUCCAAAAUAAAGUUGCUGGUGGAGUUUCUGAAUUAACAAGUGAGGCUUGAGCCUGAUCAGCCUAGCUGGCAGUAGGGAUUGAUGAUUAUUAACCUUAAGUGUUUAUGUAGGUUGUUAACAAGACGUUGCAGUCUAAAUGUGUUGCUUCAAUAUGGAUCUGUCACUGUCUUCUUUUAAAUUUUAGUUUUGAGCCUUCCUGUGACAGAAAUAAGGUUAUUUCGCUGAAUACCAGGAAAAAGAAAACUUCCUAGCUUAGUCUUAAACUAUGGAACAGAUUUCCAAGGAAGUUGUCUUUUUGCUUGGGGCACUUAACAUUUAGACUGGGGAUGGUACCAGCUAAUGUAAAAUAGGGAGCAGUCUUGCCUUGGCUGUUUUCCCUGGAGCUUGUCAUUUUCAAACUUACCUUCUGAAGAGUAAAUAUUUUGCCAUUUGCUUGCACCAGAUCGCAUAAACUUCAAAACGUUCUGUGUGGGAAGAUCCCUGCAACCCCCAUUUCAAAUGCAUAAGUUGAACUAGAUGGUAUUCUGUCAGUCUAUUCAAAGUAUGUUAUUUUCCCCAGGAUCCAUCUUAUAAAUAUUUCCUUGGCCACGGUUAUAGGCGAGAGUUUGUUUGAAGGGAAAUUCUGAAUAAAUUCCCAGGCCUUAUCCACCAUAUUCUCUUUUGCAAACAAGUGCACUCCGGUUCUAUCAUAAAACGGGGAGGAUUGCUUUCACUGGAGCUUCCUGUUAUAAUAUUGGCAGAAUAUCUCAGUAACAGUCCCUUUCCAUCUCUCAUAUCUGUAAGGGCUGUUGCCUUACAUUUAUUGGUUAUGAUGAUACAACAUCUGCUGAUGUGCUGCUGAGGAAGGGAGAGAGAUGGAAUGGUGAAAAGUCUAAGGAGACAUAGUUAACUUGAAAGGAUUCUAGAAAUUUGAAUGGAGCAAUUGCUCUCAUGGGACUACAACGAUAUUGCAGGGGGUCAGGCUAGAUGAUCUAUUCAGGUCCCUCCCGACCCUAGCUACUAUGAAUAUGUGGCUUCAGCCAGGUGUAAGAUGGGUUUGAUUCCUUGCACAGCAGUUGUAGUGUUCCUGAUUCCUAGUCUGCUGCUGCUCCUGCUGUUUCAGCUACAGGCCCUCUACCAUGCUGAGGCAGCAAAGUUGUGUUAGGUUAUGCCAUCUUGUUUGUGGGGUAGUUUUAUGAUGGGCAUGAGAACGGGGAAGGGGACUAGGAAGAGACCCAUAAAAGUUUCCUCACUUAUCCUAAGCAAAACUUGCACUCGGAAUUGAAUAUCUGAUGGGGGUAAUCAGCUGUGCCACCAGUACUGAAUGAUACCACCAGAGCAGAACACAAACCAUCCCACACUAAGAGCGGCCAGCCCAUUUGCCCAAAACAACAUUGUGGUUUCCACUACUCAUUCUCUUUCCAGGCCCUUAGAACCGAUAGCUGGUAUUCGUUUUUAAAAAUAAAUCCUUUUUUAUAUCUGAUCUAAAAUGGGCCAACAGGCAUGAAUGGUUAAAAUGCAUGGAUUUGUAUAGUGGCAACCAUUUUCAUGUUAAUUCUUUAUACUAUACCAACUGGCUGAGUACAGUUAACCAGUCUAAGUAUAGGGAUUUGCAUAUUGAUUAUGUACAGAAAUAGCAGCAUGGCCAUUAUUAUGUAGAUUAGAUGCUCUAGUAAAUUAUGGUUCAGAGGAUAACAUAACUGAAAAAUAGUGCAGCUGUGGGUACUACCUUCUUAAUAGCCUGAGCUCUGCUUGAUUGAAACUAAAAAGUUUUCAGCUUUAAUUUUUGAAGAUAAAUAAAGUAGGUAACUUAGAUCUGUAAGCAAAUAGGGAAUUUUGGAUUAUGUAGAUAUGUAGAGACAGCAAAUAAAAUUUCUUAGUUAAUUUUGAGGAACAAAUCCAUUUUAAAUGAUUAGGUUAGGUAAAAGGAUAGAAAAAGGCAGAAGUUCAAGUUACCAUUCUUUAGUUGAUAGGUGUUGAGUUGGUUGUCAGGAGACCUGGAUACUAUUCCUACUUCUCUUUGACAUGCUUUUAUACUCUGACUCCAUUUCCCCUUAUAAAAAUGGGAUAACACUACUUACCCUGCGUUGUAAAGGACUUUACAUACUUUGGCUGAAAAAGCACUAGUAUGUAUUUAUGCAUAUGUUAAUUAUUGAUGUGUCAAAAGCGAAUAUUAAGUUUAGGUAGAAUUUUGGUUUCCUAGAGGCAUGACUUUUGUUGUAAAAUUGUAACCUUGGAAUAGAAGUCUGAGUUUUAUUUAUUAAAUGCUUUAAGCCUGUCAGUUUACAGACAUUUUAAUAAUUUGUGCAGGCCAUGUACGCACAGAUCUCUUUCAGUUUUGCCCUCUGCUAACACAGCUUUCCACCUAUGUGGACUGGGGCUUUUAGGUUGGAGCUGUUCUUUAUAGGAAUAUCAUCAGAUCUUUGGGAUAUUAUUUAAGUUGCUUUCCCUGUUGCUAGAAUCCAUGUCUACUUGACUACACCAACAUACCAUACUCCUGCAUCAUGGGUUGUAUAAUGACCCUUUAGAAGUGAGUUUGAAGUAAGUACAAACUGCCCUUUAAACUAGUUACUAAAUUGGAUUUACUUCACCAGUAAUGGAAAGGAAGAUGAUAAUGUUUAAGUUGGCAUUGACUUUCCAAUCUGUUUUCCUCUAUCUAAAAAGAAACUGCAGUGGCAGCAUUAAUUGUAGCUUCCCUGCUGCCAAAUUUCAGGAUCUGUUGGGAGCCCUGUGGGCUGGAUAGUGUGGCCCUACACAUUAGGUUGGACAGGCAGGACUGGGGUCUGAUUGGGGUGGCAUAGGGCCUGACUCUGCAAGGGAUCUGGUCCAUGGACUGGCCCUAUGCUACUUAUCUGGCCUAUGGGGCUGAAAGGCUGAGCAUCACUAAUAUAAUAUACUGAAUAUUUUCAACCAUUAAGCAGUUGGUAUAGCUAUUUAGUAUUCAUUGACGGAUUAUUACUCCUCAGACAAAUUCUGAUCUCAGCUAUGCAUGAAAAGGUCUAGAGUACCCAUAGAUUUGCAGUGGUGUAAUUGAGAACGGCAUCUGUUUCUAUGGUGUGUUUAGAAGAACAAAGUACUGUGAAUAUCUUUUACUAUGGGUAUUUUAGGAACCCACAUUGUAUUCCUGUCUGGUUUCUGUGGCUGAAUUGGUCAAUGGCUUCUGAGCAGGUCAUCUAAUUAUUAGUGGUUUGGUUUGGGGUGGGAGGCAGGACUGUGAACUGGAAUCCUAUUUCAGCAUGUGAUCAGUGAAUAGCUUGGCACAUGCAACUGUUACAGUAAUGAAAGGUCAGGAGGCAGUGUUGUUUAGUGGAUUGAUUAUGGCUCCUGGAGUCUGAGAAAUUAAAUUCACUUCCAGGUUUUGUCACUGGCUCAUGAAGGGCCAGAUCCACGAAGGUGUAUAGGGGUCUAAAUAACUUUUGGUAACAGAUCUGAGAGACCUUGAGCAAGUCACUUCUCAGUGGAAUGCAGUAGUCUUUCCCCAUAUCUAAAGAGGGUCAAUAUUGUUUACCUACCUUUUGUGUUGUGCUUUUAGAUGCUUACAUGAAAAGUGCUCAGUUAAAUAUUUUAUUACUAUUUACUUAUUGGCAAAUCUAGGUAAUCAGUGUUGCUAAAAAUAACCCAGAUAGUGGGGUUGCUUUUUAUAAGUGUCUAGAAGAUUAUUGCCUCCAAAAUAAAACUAUGUUUAAUCUUUUCUGUAUCUUUUAUUAUCAGAAGGAUGAUGAUCACCUGCUAAACAAGUGUCUAAUAAAGUUUAACAAGAUAUUUAGACUUUAAAUUGCUUUGAUUAACAGAGUAAAUUGCCACAUAGAAUCCUUGCUGCUAAUCAAUUAGUAGUUUUCCCUAAUUUAUUUUACUAAAAGUGUUCCCCGAAAAUGAUCAGAAGAAUCCUGCAACCCUUGCAUUAAUCAAAGCCAUAUAGGCACACACUGGGGGAGGAGAGAAAGAAAGUUUGCAGUGGUUAGUAUUACAGAAGCAAUUUGAUGCGUUUUGGCAUCACUCUGAAAACAAGAGAGGCAGCAGGAUUUGGAGAGCCAAGGGAACUGGCUUGAGUCUUGCAACUGGAGCUGUCGCAUUGCAGGCUGACCUCAUGCAAGGGGAAGAGAAAAGAGCAAAGAUAGGCAGAGCAGGUAGGAGAAGAAUGGGAGGGAUAUAGAGGGGGGUGUGUGGAGAGGAGCAGAAGGAACUUGGUUUAACUUAGGGAAACCUUACUGGAAGUGGACUUUGGGAAACAGAAGGCCAGAUUUUUGGAAAUAAUAGAUACCUAAUAUUCAGGGACCUACCCAUUGACUUCAAAGUGAGUUAGGCAUCUCCAUGCUUUUGAAAAUUCCAAGGCUUCUGCAUCUUUACUCUCUAAAAACAUGUGGCUUCUCCUGGAAAUGGAGAUUUGUGAUGUAUUGCACGAAAAACAUUCAGGGUUAAUAUCUGCUUGAUGCAGACUUGGAACACGUCUACACUAAUACUGUUUUGCUGUAAUAUACUGGCAUAGCCAAGCUAGGCACAAAUCACACCUGAUUAUCACAAGUAUGCUUCAAAAGAUUGUAAGGUAGACCUAGACUUAACCUUUCCCUGUCAGAAAUUUCUCUCUCUCAUUUUUAAAAAAAUUGUUUCAAAAUCAGGAAAGCUUAAGUUGUAGAAUUGGCUGCUAUUUGGGAUUACAGCUAGGCAAAACAAGGACCUGAUCCUGCACAGCUUACCUCCUUGGGAGUUUUGUAGGACCAUGAACAGGGCUAUAGUGAAGAAAAUUGUUCUUAGACGAGGCCUGUUUUGAGAAUUGCUUUGUAUGUUGCUGCUUCUUUUGAGUAUUUGCUUGAACUUAUGCUUUUACUCCUUGUUUUGAACCACAAACGCUUUCGUUUGAUUUCACAAUAGCUAACCUAUGUGCUAUUGUAUAGAAAUCUAUUAAGUAAACUGAGAUUUUUCCCUUUAAAGUUUCCCCCCCACACACCUUUCCACCCUUCAAAACUGUAAUUGAAACAACUGACAGUUCACAGUACUGAAGUUGCUUUAUCCAUAAUUGAGGAAAUACAAUCCUGUUUCAGUAACUGCUUGCUGUAACUUGCAAGUGUUUGUUAUCCUCCCAGUCUAGGAUGUUUUGAGUUGCAUUAUAUAAAUAAUGAUAAUUUUCCUACCUAGAAUAAAUGCAUCUAUUUUGAAUACUUAUGGUUGGUUGCUUCUUCCUUUAGUACUGCAAAUAAUACUGUAGUUAAAAAGAAAAAUGCGGUGACUGAUUUGUCUUAUUCUUUUUUUUACCGAGUAGAAUCUGUGAAGUGAAUGAAUGAGGAAUAGUUUCAAACCUGUGCUCAGGAGAGCCAGAUAUAAACAAAGGAUUCCUUCUUCAUAUUUAUAAGUGCAUGAAAUUAUAAUAUUUUGACUCAAUAAACAAUAAUUGAUUUUUCUUUUUUCUGCAAGGAGCUCUGAUAAUUUAUUCCUCAAGUGUAAGUGAGAUUCCAGAGUCCUUUAGUUGAAUGAUGUGCAUGCAAGCUUCAGAUGUAGAGUUCAGUCAUUGUAACUGCUUCAGCUUCUUUCACUGAAGAAACCGGAACAAUAGUUUGUUUGUAACGACCCUGAAACUGAGUACAAAGGCUUAUCUGACCUUUGAACCUUGGUGGCUGUGCAUCUGAAGGAGGAAUUGUUAAUGAAUGGGAAGGACUGCCCCCCACUCCAACUUUCCCCAGGAAUGUAUAAUGUCAUUUCUUCCAAUUAACAGAUGAAAAAAAAUGUGUUGAUUUUUUAUAUGACUAGGUACCUUCCUACCACUCUGAUAUGAUGCUCUUGUAUGUUGAGGAAAAGGAAGGGAAAAAAAAGUUGGCUACUAUUGUUUGCCUUAAAGGAAUUUUUUUCUAAGUGUGGUUACAUUACUUUGAAGUCUCACUUUGUUUAUUGCAUGCUACUUGGCUGAAAUCACGGUCAUGAAAAUAUUGUCAGUUUUAUGUCAUGAUUAUCUCUUUGUUCUCUAAUGCGAUUAUUUUAUCACAACCAGUAGGAGGCAACAGGAAGGAAUAGUUAGCCUUCUGAAGACAUCGUUAUCCUUCUGUAUAAUGUGCUGACUGUGUCAUUCCCUGUUACAGUUUUUAGCAAGUUGAAGCAGUGUCUUGUAAUAGUUAUAGUCAUCAGUUCUUAAAAUUCAACAAGAUGAAGAGUAAAUCAUACAGGUUUUGAAAUUGGAUAAGCCAUGUUGAGCCAAUAGAGGCUUUAAAACGUUCAUGCCACAUUCAUGCUCAGCCUUAAGUAUGCAAGCUUUUAGUUUAAGUACAGAACAUACAGAAAAGUAAUCUUUUAAUAUAUUUUUAUUGCUCAUUCAAACACCUUGUCCUGUAUACAUGUGCUUGCACACAUGUUCAUGUGCGCAGUAAUCUAAUCUAAACACUGCCCUCUGAAGAAGUAUUGUGGAUUUGCCUUGUUCAGAUCAAGGAAAGAGGAAUGGGAUUACACUCCUGGCCCCAUUGGGGCGGAGACUGGGUGUAUUCUAGAACCUGUACCACCAAAAAAGCCCUCAGGAAGUCAAAGCUGUCCAAGUGCCAACACUACUCCUGAUUCUGGGGUCCCCUGCCCUCCUUUAGUCUAGCACCUGAGAGAGAGCUCAGCCACCAGAAGGUGACCGCAUCAGCUUGAAUGAGAGUGGCACCCAGCAUCUGUAGCUUGAUUGACCCUGGGCAUCUUCACUCUUGGGUAUUGUUGUUAGUGUCCUUAAGAACAUUUUAAAUAUCUUUGUCAUGCUCUAGAAAUCUGGCAGAGGAAAAGCAGCAGCAACCAAGGAUACUUUUCAAUAACAGAUCCUUAGUACAAGUAGUGGUUCUUGUUACUGUUUCAAGAACAAAUUCCACUUAUUUUGUGGUGUGCAAGGUGAUUAAACUUGUUGUUUCCCAAAGGAGUAUGAAGAGCUUUGGAUGGCACUGGUAAAGUUUUAGCUUCCACGGGUUUGCAUGAUUCUUUCCUCCCUUUGCCUGUUCUUUUGUUCCAAAAGCAGGAUUGAAGCUUUUUCUGUCACAUAGACCACUUCUGAAGAUGGAGACUUCCUUAGCUUCCUGAUCUGGAUUAUGUAACAUCAGUAAAAAAGGACCUUCAAGGCUGCCACGUGUUGACAAGGGGAAGUAAUCCACCUUGUCUGGGUUGGCAUAGGAUGACUCGAGGAAAGUUUGUCAUCAUCGUUUAAUGAAUGGAGCAUGUAGCCAUAAAUAAAGCCAGUUUUGAAUGCAGCCAGAAAAAGCAACCGCACUUUUUUUUUUAUUUUCACAGUACUUAAAAUUAUAAUGUAGGUGUUUUUCACUUUUGGAAGCUGAGCAUAUGUGUAAACAAAUUCAAAUAAACACUUUGAGAACUGGC